Molecule: small RNA, 71 nt
Filed under: Arabidopsis thaliana (thale cress)
Lineage: Eukaryota; Viridiplantae; Streptophyta; Magnoliopsida; Brassicales; Brassicaceae
Description: ATSL082080
Source: RNAcentral
CCAAUGAGAGUCGGAGACAGAGGCAAAGAAGCCACAUACCACAAACGACUUCAAAGUGUGUCAAUGACACU